This is a long non-coding RNA of Liolophura sinensis, 185 nucleotides long. RefSeq lists it as uncharacterized. The record is from RefSeq and is a predicted model, not a curated record. The transcript has 3 exons. NCBI's taxonomy places the organism in Eukaryota, Metazoa, Mollusca, Polyplacophora, Chitonida, Chitonidae.
UCGGCAGAAUGUGGAUUUGUGCCACGCCAAACGUGCUCGGACCGACUUUGAAGAAAAUGCGGGUUACAUGUAUCCAAAAGCAUUGGUCAAAUAUGACAUGACCCAAGAAACACUCACGAGCCAUAACCACAGUCGUAGAGCCAAGCAGGAUAACGUCUUCUCAGUUUUUCCACUCAAUGAUCCGG